This 765-nucleotide ribosomal RNA is filed under the name Microbacterium sp. EP_S_81. RNAcentral describes it as "bacterial SSU rRNA". It matches the Rfam family "Bacterial small subunit ribosomal RNA", at positions 29 to 805 of the family's 1533-position model. The record is from RNAcentral. Lineage: Bacteria; Bacillati; Actinomycetota; Actinomycetes; Micrococcales; Microbacteriaceae.
GUAAGUGCGGGCGUGCUUAACACAUGCAAGUCGAACGAUGAAGCCCAGCUUGCUGGGUGGAUUAGUGGCGAACGGGUGAGUAACACGUGAGCAACCUGCCCCUGACUCUGGGAUAAGCGCUGGAAACGGCGUCUAAUACUGGAUAUGAGCCUUCCACGCAUGGUGGGGGGUUGGAAAGAUUUUUUGGUUGGGGAUGGGCUCGCGGCCUAUCAGCUUGUUGGUGAGGUAAUGGCUCACCAAGGCGUCGACGGGUAGCCGGCCUGAGAGGGUGACCGGCCACACUGGGACUGAGACACGGCCCAGACUCCUACGGGAGGCAGCAGUGGGGAAUAUUGCACAAUGGGCGGAAGCCUGAUGCAGCAACGCCGCGUGAGGGAUGACGGCCUUCGGGUUGUAAACCUCUUUUAGCAAGGAAGAAGCGAAAGUGACGGUACUUGCAGAAAAAGCGCCGGCUAACUACGUGCCAGCAGCCGCGGUAAUACGUAGGGCGCAAGCGUUAUCCGGAAUUAUUGGGCGUAAAGAGCUCGUAGGCGGUUUGUCGCGUCUGCUGUGAAAUCCCGAGGCUCAACCUCGGGCCUGCAGUGGGUACGGGCAGACUAGAGUGCGGUAGGGGAGAUUGGAAUUCCUGGUGUAGCGGUGGAAUGCGCAGAUAUCAGGAGGAACACCGAUGGCGAAGGCAGAUCUCUGGGCCGUAACUGACGCUGAGGAACGAAAGGGUGGGGGAGCAAACAGGCUUAGAUACCCCUGGUAAUCCACCCCCGGUAA